AAAAAGAUUUUACAAUUAUGUUUAUUAAGAAAUUGGGUGUGAAAAUGAAAUCUUUUGGGUCCAAAUUAAUCCCACACAUAAAAUAAACAUCAUGAAAUUAGAUAUUAAGCAUUUAAAUGACCAAUAAACUGAAAUAAAAAUGUCGCAAUUAGGUUCACACAAAGAUAGCACUGAACACAUGAUGUAAUAUAAAAAGAUUUUGUGUAGAACCAAUCAUUAAAAGAGAACCGGCCUUCCAAUAAGUUCCACCAACAAUUAGGAGAAAAAAUGUGAAAGAAUUAAAAUCCCACUACGUCUACCGACGUGCAUAACAGAUAAAUAAAAAAAGAUAACCAUAUUAAAUCAGGAGGAGUAACAAAAAAUCAUUUUUCAAAUGGAAGCUAUUGAGGGUUUUUGGCCCCUUAAUUUGAACAAGUCUUAGUUUAGUCUGGAAGUGGGAAUGCGGGAAAAGAUUACAUGCGCCGAAUAAAGGCAAAAAGGCCAAAAUCGCUUUGCACGUAAAAGAAACCUAUCAUGCAUGAAUCCCACUUCCGCUUGCCUUCUGCUGUGAUGUUUAUUCAAUAACUGGAGGGAGGGAACACGUGACCUAAUUUUGGCCCCAUAAUUUUUUAGCCAAUGGCAGACAGUGUGCUGUGUGGCUCAACAGUGCUCUACUUUGACAAAUUUUAUAAGGAACAGGACUAAAUCAUCCAACUAGUUACAAUACAAAUAGCUUAUUAUAAAGUAAAGCUAUUUCAGUUUUUUUUUUCAUAAUUUUUAUCAAAAUCUUAUAACUUUAUUUUUUUUUUCAAAAAUAGUAUUGUUGAUCAUGGGUACAUUUACAUUUACAUUAUUGGCUUAG
RNAcentral lists this long non-coding RNA (841 nucleotides) under Citrus x clementina. Its description in RNAcentral is "Citrus clementina (C. clementina) long non-coding RNA (CCLE_LNC003839)". Lineage: Eukaryota; Viridiplantae; Streptophyta; Magnoliopsida; Sapindales; Rutaceae. The record is from RNAcentral.